UGCUGUGAUGAUGAUAUGAAAUAAUCUCGUUAAUCUGAGAUUUUUUUGCUAUGAGGAGAACAAUUCUAUCCAUUCAUUCUUCUGAGC
Arachis duranensis is the source of this 87-nucleotide small nucleolar RNA. RefSeq annotates it as small nucleolar RNA U30. The transcript has a single exon. NCBI's taxonomy places the organism in Eukaryota, Viridiplantae, Streptophyta, Magnoliopsida, Fabales, Fabaceae. The record is from RefSeq and is a predicted model, not a curated record.